RNAcentral lists this non-coding RNA (21 nucleotides) under Arabidopsis thaliana (thale cress). The record is from RNAcentral. Lineage: Eukaryota; Viridiplantae; Streptophyta; Magnoliopsida; Brassicales; Brassicaceae.
AGAACAGAACGGAUGUGCGGA